Molecule: small nuclear RNA, 162 nt
Organism: Acomys russatus (golden spiny mouse)
Lineage: Eukaryota; Metazoa; Chordata; Mammalia; Rodentia; Muridae
Product: U1 spliceosomal RNA
Exons: 1
Source: RefSeq, a predicted model, not a curated record
AAAAUAAAACUGCAACUGAACAAAACUUAGAAAAGGUGGUUUUCCAGGGUGAUGCUCACCCAUUGCACUGUGGGGUGUGCUGACCCCUGCGAUUUCCCCAAAUGUGGGAAACUCAACUGCGUAAUUUAUGGUAGCAGGGGACUGCGUGUGUGCUCUCUCCUG